Molecule: long non-coding RNA, 175 nt
Organism: Suricata suricatta (meerkat)
Lineage: Eukaryota; Metazoa; Chordata; Mammalia; Carnivora; Herpestidae
Exons: 3
Source: RefSeq, a predicted model, not a curated record
UAGGAUUCUCACUCUUUCUCCUUCUCCCCAACUCUCCCUCUCUCUCAAAAUAAACCUUAAAAAAAGAACUGGAAUGGAAAACCACAAAUAUGUACACAGAACUGGAAACACGGCUCUUCGAGAUAAGCCUUCGAAGGUCGUGAUCUCACCGGCUGUGAGUUUGAGCGCUGCACCA